This 775-nucleotide long non-coding RNA is filed under the name Homo sapiens (human). Its description in RNAcentral is "long intergenic non-protein coding RNA 458". The record is from RNAcentral. Lineage: Eukaryota; Metazoa; Chordata; Mammalia; Primates; Hominidae.
GGGGCUUCCGAGGCGAUUGGGCAGUGUCAGUCUUCAGCCGCUAAGCCGAGAAGACCUGGGAAGGAGUCAGUCAGAGAGGCUUGGGCCAGAGUUCCAGGGGCUCUGGGAGUGGCUGCCAGUUACUUCAGGCCAUCUGGGUGUAUACGUGCAAGUCACAAGGGAUGCGAUGGCUUGGCUUGGGCUCAGAGGCCUGACACUGGAACGCGCAUGAAAAAACCAAACAAACAAAAAAAUUUCUUUUGGUAGCAGAAUAAAAAAACAAAAAAAAGGACUUUUUCUUCUGGACUGAACUAUAUUUAAAUCUCAAAGGAUGGACAUCUCACAACCUUCCUACAGCAAGUACUGUGAGAUGCAGCAAGAAGGCCCUCAACAGACACCAGAUGCCAGCAUCCUGAUUCUGGACUUCUAGCCUCCAGAACUGACCUGAGUUCAAAAUGUUUCUUGCCAGUUGAUCUUUGUCUUAGAAAAUUUCAGCAAAAUGUUCUGGUGGAGGAAGGUUUUUUGGUGUGGAACAACAGACAUAAACUAUGGAAAUGCACAGAAGUAAAGGCAUUUUUCAGAGAACCAAAGGUUUCGCCAUGUUGUCAUCUUUAAAAAAUAUGACAUCGAAGCCACCAGCCUUCAGAAGAUCUGGGAAAAGCACCCACAACAACUGAUCCUUUUUACCCUUAAUUCAUUGGGAAAGCAGUGUGUUAAAAAGUUUUAUAAAAUAUCUGUCAAAGUUUUCUUGUCUUCAUCUCAAUCUGGAUUACAUUAAAUACAUUGCAGAUGUGGU